UGGAACCCAGGUGCUAAUACCGAAUAAAAGUUAGUGUCGNNCAGACACAAAGUUAAAAGGCGUUUCGGCGUCACCUAGAGAUGGAUCCGCGGUGCAUUAGUUAGUUGGUGGGGUAAAGGCCUACCAAGACAAUGAUGCAUAGCCGAGUUGAGAGACUGAUCGCCCACAUUGGGAGUGAGACACGGCCCAAACUCCUACGGGAGGCUGCAGUAGGGAAUCUUCCACAAUGGGCGAAAGCCUGAUGGAGCAACGCCGCGUGUGUGAAGAAGGCUUUCGGGUCGUAAAGCUCUGUUGUAUGGGAAGAACAGCUAGAAUAGGAAAUGAUUUUAGUUUGACGGUACCAUACCAGAAAGGGACGGCUAAC
RNAcentral lists this ribosomal RNA (364 nucleotides) under uncultured bacterium. RNAcentral's name for it is "bacterial SSU rRNA". It matches the Rfam family "Bacterial small subunit ribosomal RNA", at positions 151 to 501 of the family's 1533-position model. The record is from RNAcentral.